Molecule: ribosomal RNA, 253 nt
Filed under: uncultured bacterium
Lineage: Bacteria
Description: partial 16S ribosomal RNA
Rfam family: Bacterial small subunit ribosomal RNA
Source: RNAcentral
UACGUAGGGUGCAAGCGUUAAUCGGAAUUACUGGGCGUAAAGCGUGCGCAGGCGGUUGUGUAAGUCUGUCGUGAAAUCCCCGGGCUCAACCUGGGAAUUGCGAUGGAGACUGCACGGCUAGAGUGUGUCAGAGGGGGGUAGAAUUCCGCGUGUAGCAGUGAAAUGCGUAGAGAUGCGGAGGAACACCGAUGGCGAAGGCAGCCCCCUGGGCUAACACUGACGCUCAGGCACGAAAGCGUGGGGAGCAAACAGG